UACGUAGGGUGCAAGCGUUAAUCGGAAUUACUGGGCGUAAAGCGUGCGCAGGCGGUUGAGCAAGCCAGAUGUGAAAUCCCCGGGCUUAACCUGGGAACUGCAUUUGGAACUGCUCGGCUAGAGUACGUCAGAGGGGGGUGGAAUUCCACGUGUAGCAGUGAAAUGCGUAGAGAUGUGGAGGAACACCGAUGGCGAAGGAAACCCCCGGGGACUGUAAUGACGCUCAUGCACGAAAGCGUGGGGAGCAAACAGG
This 253-nucleotide ribosomal RNA is filed under the name uncultured bacterium. Its description in RNAcentral is "partial 16S ribosomal RNA". It matches the Rfam family "Bacterial small subunit ribosomal RNA", at positions 524 to 776 of the family's 1533-position model. The record is from RNAcentral.